Molecule: ribosomal RNA, 245 nt
Filed under: uncultured bacterium
Lineage: Bacteria
Description: partial 16S ribosomal RNA
Rfam family: Bacterial small subunit ribosomal RNA
Source: RNAcentral
AGCCUACCAGGCGACGACGGGUAGCCGGCCUGAGAGGGUGACCGGCCACAUUGGGACUGAGAUACGGCCCAGACUCCUACGGGAGGCAGCAGUGGGGAAUAUUGCACAAUGGGCGAAAGCCUGAUGCAGCGACGCCGCGUGGGGGAUGACGGCCUUCGGGUUGUAAACCCCUUUCAGCAGGGACGAAGCGAAAGUGACGGUACCUGCAAAAGAAGCACCGGCUAACUACGUGCCCACAGCCGCGG